UCUAUAGUCUAAUUAAGUAGUGAUUUCUAAAAAACUCGAGGCUUAAAGAAAAUCGUAUUUCCUUUAAAUUAUAAUAAAGCUUGGCUCUGACUUAAAAAUAUAACAAGAACAAAAAAAUACACAUGGUUUUUUUUGAGAGAGGUGAGGUGAAAAAGUUUAAUAUACAAGAACAGAAAUUUUUUAUGUAUUAACUUUUUAAAGUAUUAUAGAAGAUACAAUGCUUUGCAACGUCCCACUAACACCAGUGUUUGAUAUUAAUAAAGGAUGAAAGUCUGUAUUAGAUUAGUUUUAGUUCAGAUUUGGUUAACUUGGUGCCAGCAUCCGCGGUUACACCAAGAAAUCAAGUUAUAUCCACAGGGUAAAAAGACAGUUAGGUAGAUUAAAAGUUCUGUUAUUCUUUGUUUAGAGGUGGAAUUCGAGCAUAAAGAUAUAUUUCAAUAAGAUCUAAAUUAUACUGAAUCUGUGAUAGUCUUGAGGGAAACUGGGAUUAGAUAUCCCAUUAUUCUUGAUUGUAAAUUAAUUUUGUUUACCAGAGUACUAUGAAUAAAUAUAAUUUAAAACUCAAAGGGCUUGGCGGUGCUUUAGACCACUCAGGGGAACCUGUCUCAUAAUCGACAAUCCACGAUACACCUAACCUUUUAUAGUUUAUCAGUAUGUAUACCGUCGUCGUCAGGUAACUUUCAAAAAGAAAAAAGUUAGCAACAACAAAUCAUAAUUUUAAACGUCAGAUCAAGGUGCAGCUAAUAAAAAGGUGAAGAUGGGUUACAAUUAAAAUUUAUAAUACGAAUUUAAAUCUGAAAUAUUUGGUUUUCUGAAGGCGGACUUGAAAGUAAAAUUCAUAAGAUAAAUCUUUUGAAUGCGGCUCUGAAGCGUGCACACAUCGCCCGUCGCUCUCGUUGAGAAAUGAGAUAAGUCGUAACAUAGUAGGGGUAAUGGAAAUUGUCCCUGGAAUAGA
Molecule: ribosomal RNA, 955 nt
Filed under: Provanna sp. JWQ-2014
Lineage: Eukaryota; Metazoa; Mollusca; Gastropoda; Provannidae
Description: 12S ribosomal RNA
Source: RNAcentral